Molecule: ribosomal RNA, 926 nt
Filed under: uncultured organism
Description: bacterial SSU rRNA
Rfam family: Bacterial small subunit ribosomal RNA
Source: RNAcentral
UGGAUCCAGACUUUGAUUAUGGCUCAGGAUGAACGCUAGCUACAGGCUUAACACAUGCAAGUCGAGGGGAAACGACAUCGAAAGCUUGCUUUUGAUGGGCGUCGACCGGCGCACGGGUGAGUAACGCGUAUCCAACCUGCCCACCACUUGGGGAUAACCUUGCGAAAGUAAGACUAAUACCCAAUGAUAUCUCUAGAAGACAUCUGAAGGGGAUUAAAGAUUUAUCGGUGAUGGAUGGGGAUGCGUCUGAUUAGCUUGUUGGCGGGGUAACGGCCCACCAAGGCUACGAUCAGUAGGGGUUCUGAGAGGAAGAUCCCCCACAUUGGAACUGAGACACGGUCCAAACUCCUACGGGAGGCAGCAGUGAGGAAUAUUGGUCAAUGGGCGAGAGCCUGAACCAGCCAAGUAGCGUGCAGGAUGACGGCCCUAUGGGUUGUAAACUGCUUUUAUAAGGGAAUAAAGUGGGUCUCGUGAGACUUUUUGCAUGUACCUUAUGAAUAAGGACCGGCUAAUUCCGUGCCAGCAGCCGCGGUAAUACGGAAGGUCCGGGCGUUAUCCGGAUUUAUUGGGUUUAAAGGGAGCGUAGGCCGGAGAUUAAGCGUGCUGUGAAAUGUAGAUGCUCAACAUCUGCACUGCAGCGCGAACUGGUUUCCUUGAGUACGCACAAAGUGGGCGGAAUUCGUGGUGUAGCGGUGAAAUGCUUAGAUAUCACGAAGAACUCCGAUUGCGAAGGCAGCUCACUGGAGCGCAACUGACGCUGAAGCUCGAAAGUGCGGGUAUCGAACAGGAUUAGAUACCCUGGUAGUCCGCACGGUAAACGAUGGAUGCCCGCUGUUGGUCUGAAUAGGUCAGCGGCCAAGCGAAAGCAUUAAGCAUCCCACCUGGGGAGUACGCCGGCAACGGUGCAACUCAAAUGAAUUGACGGA